GAUGAACGCUGGCGGCGUGCCUAAUACAUGCAAGUCGAGCGAACAGACGAGGAGCUUGCUCCUCUGACGUUAGCGGCGGACGUGUGAGUAACACGUGGAUAACCUACCUAUAAGACUGGGAUAACUUCGGGAAACCGGAGCUAAUACCGGAUAAUAUAUUGAACCGCAUGGUUCAAUAGUGAAAGACGGUUUUGCUGUCACUUAUAGAUGGAUCCGCGCCGCAUUAGCUAGUUGGUAAGGUAACGGCUUACCAAGGCAACGAUGCGUAGCCGACCUGAGAGGGUGAUCGGCCACACUGGAACUGAGACACGGUCCAGACUCCGACGGGAGGCAGCAGUAGGGAAUCUUCCGCAAUGGGCGAAAGCCUGACGGAGCAACGCCGCGUGAGUGAUGAAGGUCUUCGGAUCGUAAAACUCUGUUAUUAGGGAAGAACAAAUGUGUAAGUAACUAUGCACGUCUUGACGGUACCUAAUCAGAAAGCCACGGCUAACUACGUG
Molecule: ribosomal RNA, 497 nt
Filed under: uncultured bacterium
Lineage: Bacteria
Description: partial 16S ribosomal RNA
Rfam family: Bacterial small subunit ribosomal RNA
Source: RNAcentral